RNAcentral lists this ribosomal RNA (209 nucleotides) under uncultured bacterium. Its description in RNAcentral is "partial 16S ribosomal RNA". It matches the Rfam family "Bacterial small subunit ribosomal RNA", at positions 568 to 775 of the family's 1533-position model. The record is from RNAcentral.
CUCGUAGGCGGCCAACUAAGUCAGACGUGAAAUCCCUAGGCUCAACCUAGGAACUGCGUCUGAUACUGGAUGGCUUGAAUCCGGGAGAGGGAUGCAGAAUUCCAGGUGUAGCGGUGAAAUGCGUAGAUAUCUGGAGGAAUACCGGUGGCGAAGGCGGCAUCCUGGACCGGCAUUGACGCUGAGGAGCGAAAGCCGAGGGGAGCGAAACG